RNAcentral lists this ribosomal RNA (484 nucleotides) under uncultured bacterium. RNAcentral describes it as "partial 16S ribosomal RNA". It matches the Rfam family "Bacterial small subunit ribosomal RNA", at positions 30 to 507 of the family's 1533-position model. The record is from RNAcentral.
AUUGAACGCUGGCGGCAGGCCUAACACAUGCAAGUCGAGCGGAUGAAGGGAGCUUGCUCCUGGAUUCAGCGGCGGACGGGUGAGUAAUGCCUAGGAAUCUGCCUGGUAGUGGGGGAUAACGUCCGGAAACGGGCGCUAAUACCGCAUACGUCCUGAGGGAGAAAGUGGGGGAUCUUCGGACCUCACGCCAUCAGAUGAGCCGAGGUCGGAUUAGCUAGUUGGUGGGGUAAAGGCCUACCAAGGCGACGAUCCGUAACUGGUCUGAGAGGAUGAUCAGUCACACUGGAACUGAGACACGGUCCAGACUCCUACGGGAGGCAGCAGUGGGGAAUAUUGGACAAUGGGCGAAAGCCUGAUCCAGCCAUGCCGCGUGUGUGAAGAAGGUCUUCGGAUUGUAAAGCACUUUAAGUUGGGAGGAAGGGCAGUAAGUUAAUACCUUGCUGUUUUGACGUUACCAACAGAAUAAGCACCGGCUAACUUCGUG